Molecule: ribosomal RNA, 790 nt
Filed under: uncultured bacterium
Lineage: Bacteria
Description: bacterial SSU rRNA
Rfam family: Bacterial small subunit ribosomal RNA
Source: RNAcentral
AGUCGAGCGAUGAACACCUUCGGGUGUGAAUUAGCGGCGAACGGGUGAGGAACACGUGAAGAAUCUGCCUUCAACUCUGGGAUAACUCCGGGAAACCGGGGCUAAUACCGGAUAUGAGCCUCGAUCGCAUGAUUGGGGCUGGAAAGUUUUUCGGUUGAAGAUGACUUCGCGGCCUAUCAGCUUGUUGGUGAGGUAAUGGCUCACCAAGGCGACGACGGGUAGCCGGCCUGAGAGGGCGACCGGCCACACUGGGACUGAGACACGGCCCAGACUCCUACGGGAGGCAGCAGUGGGGAAUAUUGGGCAAUGGAGGGAACUCUGACCCAGCGACGCCGCGUGAGGGAUGAAGGCCUUCGGGUUGUAAACCUCUUUCAGUAGGGAAGAAGCGAAAGUGACGGUACCUACAGAAGAAGCACCGGCUAACUAUGUGCCAGCAGCCGCGGUAAUACAUAGGGUGCAAGCGUUGUCCGGAAUUAUUGGGCGUAAAGAGCUCGUAGGUGGUUCGAUACGUCGGAUGUGAAAAUCAGGGGCUCAACCCCUGACCUGCAUCCGAUACGGUCGAGCUAGAGUUUGGUAGGGGAGACUGGAAUUCCUGGUGUAGCGGUGGAAUGCGCAGAUAUCAGGAGGAACACCGAUGGCGAAGGCAGGUCUCUGGGCCAAUACUGACACUGAGGAGCGAAAGCGUGGGGAGCGAACAGGAUUAGAUACCCUGGUAGUCCACGCCGUAAACGGUGGGCGCUAGUUGUGCGAACCUUCCACGGUUUGUGCGACGCAGCUAACGCAUUAAGCG